UAAUAUUUUGCAAACCAAGUAGAAAAAAGUUCAUUUUCAAAGGACUUUGACUAAGGGAUGAAUAUCUCAGAUUCUCUCACACAUAGUUUAUAUCUUAAUAGAUUUGAUUAUUCAUUGAAUUUUCCUUUUUUUAAAUUACGAAGAUUUUUUUGACUAUGUGGAGAAUAGGCAGAAAAAAGCUCUUCAUUACCUAUGGAAUCCUGCUUUUUGUGAAAUUGUAAAGGUUAAUUUUGGAAGAAAGUCAUACUUAAUAUUGAACCAAUUACAUAGCUACGACUCAAAGUAAAAAUUUUGCUUAAGGUAAUGUCUCUUGUGUUUAGUCAGCUCAGUAAUAGAACUCAUACCUUUUGGUCAGUGAGUCUAUGAUAUUUGUUAUGCUUCCAUCCGCACUGGUACACUAGUUUGUAAGAUAUUCAGAAAACUUAUCCUUCCAGAGGGAUAGGCAGGAAAAAGCAAACAUUUAAUUGCUCAAGAGUAUAAUUCAGUCAUGCUUUCAACAAACAAGUUAGGAUUUUCAAUAAAAGCCAUAGUCAGAGGGUUUGAUACACUGUUUACUUAUAAUUCAAAAAACACCUCAAAUAUAGGCUAUAUUUCAUGGUUCAGUUGAGUUCAGGAAAAGCAAACAUUUGUAUGAGAAAACAACUGGAGUCAAAGAAGCUGGUAGAUAAUUCUGAAGAGAUGGAAAUCAGUAUCUCCCCCACAUGCAAAUAUGUUUGCAAUUCAUCUAUACUAUAUAAUUAUGCUAUAGAAAUAUCGAUCACGCAAAGUAAUUCUAAACAAAUAAAGUGAUCAUGGGGGGCAUUCAUCAUUUAUUUAUGAAUCUAGACAAGACCUUGUUGAAGUAAGGAUAUAUUUAAGCAUUCCAGACACAUUUCUAGAAUAUUGGAGUUUGCGAAAAACCUAGAAAACAUUAUGUACUGAGUUGGUUAAAUUUGAUAUGACAUACCAAGUAAUUGGGUUUGUUUCUUUUGAUUCAAGGAAGACUUUCUGAGACUAAUCUGAAGAAAAUCUGAGCUUUUCACUGAAUGCCAUUAAAUUAUAUAACACCGAAAUAUAGAUUGAAAAAUAUAUGUUAUAUAUAUUUUUGUCUCUUGAACCUAAUGAAUGAAGAACCCAGUUUUUAGUCUAGUUAUUCUUGUACUUUGUUAUGGAAAUUUUUUAAAAUUCUCAUCUUUCUCUGUAUAUACAUGGUACUCUUGCUUCUUGGUCAGAAAAUGAAAAUUUAACCUCCAUGUCCUUCUUUUUAAAUCAAAUUUAGUUGUGUUUUCUUUUGAAAAUGGAACUAUAAUGAGCACAAAAUAUUUUUCUUCUAUCAUAUAUCAACAUGAGGGCUGAUAUUUGGCCUACAGCUAAAAAAUAGUAAGUUGUAAUAAUUUGCUGUAGUGGCUAUAGCCUUGUAGGUGCUUCUUGAUGGAUGUCCACUCUAGAUGUAAAGAUCCUCCAUGGGUACCACACCUGGGGUCUCCACUGUACAACUUUAUGAAUAUAGUCUUCCUUAGUCUGGAUUUCACCAUGCCCUUCACCAUCUAUAUUACCCAGCUCUCAUAUCUCAGUCUGCCAAACCUGACCUGAUGCCCUUGCAGACAGAAUUAAAAACCAUUUUCUCUUUUGAGUACAUGUUACAUACUUCUACUGUGGCAUGUAUCACACUGUAAUUUUUAUAUGAUCAGUUUCAUAGUAUGCUCUCAGUUCAUUAAUGAGAUGGAACCUUGUCUUUUAUCAUUAGCAAACUCCUUUGAAACUAAUUAGCAGGCAACAAUGUUGACCUAUUUAAUAAUAUUCUGCUUCUCAUUUUUCUGCACAGGAAGUAGUAUGAAAUAACUUACUAGGGUUAGGAGAACUCAGAAAUUCAAAUAAAAUAGAGUUCUAAACUGUAGACUAAAUAUAAAAACAAAAAUGUGAUUAUAUCCACAGACAACUGUAUAUUCAUUAAUCAUAUCACUAAAUUAGUGAAAAAAAACCAAACCAACCAAACAAAAAAUACUACCAUAUAAGUUGUUUCAUCUUCUAAUUUUCCAUUUAAAAUCCCUUCUUGUUCUUAACCAUUUUCUGACUUGUUCUUCAUUUUAAGUUUGUGAACAUUUCUCUAGAAACAGGUUCACUUUUCUAUGUAUCUCCUUUUUGUUUUAAAAAGAAAAGCAAUGUAUGUGCCUGUGUGCCUGUGUGUGCAUGUGUGUGUACAUGCACCUGCAUAGGCAUGUGUACUUCAUCAGAAAGGAAAAGCAUGACUUCCUUGAUCCAUCAGAGCUCCUGCAGGGUCCCUGACAGAAGCUACUUGACACAUGUCUCACCGGAGUGAAAGGGCAGAAAAGUGGUGCACAAGUCCAGGUGCAGGUCUCCCUUCCAAAGAUUCUGCUCCACAUUAGAGUAUUCUAGAGCUCCUGCUGCCUUUAUGCUUUUUUGCUCCUGUCUAAUGCUUGCUGGGUAAAGGCCUGAGGUUUGGAUGGGUGGGAGAGGAGGAAAAUUUACUUUUGAACUUAUGAACUGUGCAUAUGAGGAACUUAAGCAUGGCAGCUCUUCAGUUGGUAUUACACAUAUGGACAAAAUAAUAAUCAUUUAUCAUCCCACUGUCCAAAAACUGAAUACCUUUUAAUGGGGGUGGUCAUAAUUAAAGGAAAUAUUAAGUUAAUUAGAUAAGCCCUGAGGUAAGGUUUUAGGAGAACCUGACUGUGGCUCCCUGCAUGGCUUUACCCUGACCAAUUAUAGUUCAAAUGACUGUUGCUGAGAGAACUUCCAGGUAUAUUCUUGGUGAAUGGGACUUACUUCCUCCCUCCCUUCCUCUCUUCCUGGCCUGUCUGCCCACCUUCCCUCCUCACUCCUUUCCUCCUUCUUUGCUCACCAUCUCUACUGGGCCUUAACAAUUAUAUUAAGAAUGCUGUUUGGAGCCAGGCCCAAUGACACGCUCCUGUAAUCCUUGCAACUCAGGAGGAUGGGGGGAGGAGGAUUGCAAGUUGGAGGUCAACCUCAGCAAUUUAGUGAGACCCUGUCUCAAAUUAAAAAA
RNAcentral lists this long non-coding RNA (3001 nucleotides) under Marmota monax (woodchuck). Lineage: Eukaryota; Metazoa; Chordata; Mammalia; Rodentia; Sciuridae. The record is from RNAcentral.